GACGAACGCUGGCGGCGUGCCUAAUACAUGCAAGUCGAGCGGACGAAUCGAAAGCUUGCUUUUGAUUCGUUAGCGGCGGACGGGUGAGUAACACGUGGGCAACCUGCCCUGUAGACGGGGAUAACACCGAGAAAUCGGUGCUAAUACCGGAUAACACGAAAUGUCGCAUGACGUUUCGUUGAAAGACGGCGCAAGCUGUCGCUACAGGAUGGGCCCGCGGCGCAUUAGCUAGUUGGUGAGGUAACGGCUCACCAAGGCGACGAUGCGUAGCCGACCUGAGAGGGUGAUCGGCCACACUGGGACUGAGCCACGGCCCAGACUCCUACGGGAGGCAGCAGUAAGGAAUCUUCCGCAAUGGACGAAAGUCUGACGGAGCAACGCCGCGUGAGCGAAGAAGGCCUUCGGGUCGUAAAGCUCUGUUGUUAGGGAAGAACAAGUAACGCAGUAACUGGCGUUACCGUGACGGUACCUAACGAGAAAGCCACGGCUAACUACGUG
RNAcentral lists this ribosomal RNA (498 nucleotides) under uncultured bacterium. RNAcentral describes it as "partial 16S ribosomal RNA". It matches the Rfam family "Bacterial small subunit ribosomal RNA", at positions 28 to 507 of the family's 1533-position model. The record is from RNAcentral.